CCCUUAGAUGUUCUGGGCUGCACGCGCGCUACACUGACGCACGCAACAGGUGCCUGCUCCGGGAGGACUGGGUAAUCAUUUGAGUGUGCGUCGUGAUGGGGAUAGAAUAUUGUAAUUAUUACUCUUCAACGAGGAAUUCCUAGUAAGCGCAAGUCAGCAGCUUGCGCUGAUUACGUCCCUGCCCUUUGUACACACCGCCCGUCGCUCCUACCGAUGGGUGAUCCGGUGAAUGAUUCGGACUUCAGCGGCUCCUCUGGGGUGCGCCGGAGAAAGUUUUGUGAACCUUAUCACUUGGAGGAAGGAGAAGUCGUAACA
RNAcentral lists this ribosomal RNA (315 nucleotides) under uncultured eukaryote. RNAcentral describes it as "partial 18S ribosomal RNA". It matches the Rfam family "Eukaryotic small subunit ribosomal RNA", at positions 1470 to 1796 of the family's 1831-position model. The record is from RNAcentral.